Molecule: long non-coding RNA, 1525 nt
Organism: Setaria italica (foxtail millet)
Lineage: Eukaryota; Viridiplantae; Streptophyta; Magnoliopsida; Poales; Poaceae
Exons: 5
Source: RefSeq, a predicted model, not a curated record
CCGGGGGGCGUCGCUGCUUGGUGCAGCUGCGACUGGGAGCGGCCGGGGCGCGUGAGGGGACCCGUCUUUGCCCGCGCGGUCGGCCGUUGGCCAUGGCCAACCCCAGUUGACGGGCACGGAUCCACCUCCACGACGCCGAGGUCACCGCGCUCCCCCCGCCGCCACCCUUCUUGGUGAAGCAACGGCAAGCAGCAAAGGUUCCACCCAUAAGCCACAGUUCAUCAGAGUGCUUCCAAAAGAUUUCAUGGAAAAGAUGCUGAUACCUGCUAAGUUUGUGCAAUAGCAUAUCCCCAUGGAGCUACUUGAUAAUCGUACGGCCAUCGUUUUUGGCCCCUCUGGCAAAGGUUACAGCAUUAAACUUGAAAUGGGUUGGACGGGCGUGUUCUUUGCAGUUGGUUGGUCACAGUUUCUCAAGUUUCAUGACAUUACUGAAGCUAAUGCUCUGUUGCUACGGUAUGAGGGAAACAUGGUGUUUACACUCAAAGCGUAUGGGCCAAAUGGAUACCAGAGAGAGUUCAACCAAAGGAAAACAGAGGUCGACAAAUACCAACAUUGCCAGAUAUUGAAGAGCAGCAGGAAGCACCAUCUGCUUCCAUUCAGAAGCAGCAAGAAGCACCAUCUGCUUCCAUUCAGAAGCAGUAUAACAACAAUUUGCCAAGCAGUAAUGGAGAAAAGGAACAACAAAGCCUCACAGCAUCUUGGAACCAGACAUCAUUCAAGAUCGCGCCACCAUCAUCGAUAGAGAAGCAGAUUGAUGCCAACACACUUAAAAAUCAUAUUGUUUUGCCAGAAGCAUUCUGUGAUGGUAUUGGGUUGCGGGAACGCUGUGCGAUUACACUCAAGACCUUAAGGAAUGGUAGUGAAUCUUGGCAGGUACAUAGUCUCCCAUGCAAGAAUAACAGCUACCAGCUCAAGAAGGGUUCGUUGCUUAGUCCUGCUCUCUCCAUUUUUUUUCUGCCAGGGAAAAAUGAUUCAUUAAAUUUUAACUAGGUAAAACAUCACCAUCUGUGCGUACAACGUGCUGCAUACAAGAUUAACUUCAUGCUUACCAAGAGUAGUAAGGUACAUUGCACAUUAGAGUGUGAAAGGAACAAAGGAUACGGGGCAGUCAUUCUCUAUGCUUCAGAAUCCUAAAGUUCAUGAAGGGGAGGAACCCAAAGUACCAAAACGACCAUCACAUGGCCAGUACCAAAACGACCAUCACAUGGCCAAUACCAAAACGACCAUCACAGGACCAUGCAUCUCACCACAAGCAUUCAAGUCAAAUUUAAUCAUUCUGAAGCUACAAAGAGUAUUCGCCUAGCAUGCUGCAUUUCAAUGCUCCUGAUUCCGACCUCUUACAAUCUGUUCUCUCAUGAAAAUCUACUGGUUCAGGUUCGCUCGACGCUGAACCUGCAAUGCGAAUUAUCUAAUCAUGCUGAUGAUACAAUUAUGAAUAGGUCGGAUACAAAUAUGUGCAUGUGUAACUGAAGGGUUUAAGAGGCACACCAUCAUGAAAGAAAAACGAAGUGGAUCAGGGAGGCAA